CUUUCCAUGAAGUAGAAGAUGGUUGUCUCGUUGCCAUCUCGUUAUUGCCUUUGGGUCAAUUGGAAACAAACUCUCUGUAAUUACAGGGGUAAGGUUGCGUAAACCCGACUCCCCUUUACCCCGCUUCUUGCGGGAGCCUUUUUGAGACAAUGAGGUAAUCCCAUUUCCCACCUCUCUUUUAUCUCUCCUCCUCUCUAGAAGCAUCUUCUACUUCCCAUAAAAAUCAUGAACAUCACUAUUCAUCUUCUUCCCCAUUUCUCCUCUGUAUUUUCCCCCAAUUAUUUUGGCAAUUUUCCAUAAAUCACUCCAUGAAAUCGUCCAAAAUUACAGAUCUAGGUUCCUCCAUAAAUUUUAUUCAAUUCCACAUAUUUCGUCAAAAGAUCUAGGUUUUUCUGCCACAAAUUCGUUAAAAGAACUGGGAAUUUCGUCCACAAAUUUGUUCAAAGAUCUGGGAUUUUCGUUCAAAGAUUUAUGAUUUUCGUCCUCUAAUUCGUUAAAAGAUAUGGGAUUUUCAUCCACAAAUUUGUCCAAUUUUUUCGAUCUCUUUAAUCUCUGAUUUGUUGUCGAGGUUCGUUCAUGGAUAAAUUUGUUCAAGAUCCAGUUCAGAAAACAGAGGAAGAAAUUUUUUAUUUUUCUAAUUCUGAAUAUUUCGGGGUAUGGGUUGACGAUUCCCUCGAGCCAUUUCCCGUUGUUCCUUAAACUCCAAUGGAUGAUGUAUACAAUCCAGAAACUCCAAUGGAUGAUUUAUAUGAUCCAAUGGUUGUUGUUCGUGAACCUCCAAUUCAAUCUCUAGUUGCUUACUAUUGAGAAGAACUUGAGGAUUGGGUUGCUCUCGGCACUCCCGAUCGUGAUAUAUCCAUCACUCUAGCUCUUUCUCGCAAGCGUAAAGGUAAUAGUGAUGGUAAGGAUAAGCUAGUAAGAGAGGUAAGGUAUCAAACGAUGAUGUUUUUGAGAUGUUGAAAGGUUAUGUACCUUCUAUUAAACGGUGAUACUUCUGAAAGUGAAUGAUUCUGGUUGUUGGUGUUCUUGAAUGUGAAUAAGUGUUGUUGUUGGUGGUUAGUAAAUGUAUCGAUCUGUUAUAUAAUUGUGGCUAUUGUGUACUUUGUUAUGUAAUUGUGGCUAUUAUUGUGGUUGUUCUGGACUUUUGGUUAUUCUGUACUCUGUUGUGGUUAUUCAGUACUACGUUGGUGCUAUUGUGGCCCUGUAAUUGGUAAGCAACCUAAAUUCUACUAUGUUCCUGUUUAAUAAAAUGUUAAUCGAUGCAAUUAAGUGUUUGGAUAUACGAUUACUAAUGAGAAACUAUGAAAAUGUUAGUUAAUAAUUGGUUAUUACAAUAUGUUAAGGAGUGUACAAAAAAGUUUACAAAAUAAUUUGAUGAACCUGUUAUGACUGCAAAAUGUUUACAAAAGUACUCCCUAACACUAGACAUUCCUUGCUCUCAAAAGCUAGUUUGUUGCAUUAGACUCCCUGUUGCGUUGCUUCAACAAAUGCUACACAUUCUCCUACUAGAGUAGGAGGUGGAGAGAAGAUGACAAGGAGUAUCCUUUGUCUCUCCAAAGCUUCUUUGCCAACAUCCCUUGACUCUCAUAACCUCUAUUAGUACAAAUGCAAACUAAGAAAGACUCUAUUUACUUUGAUUGGACAAAAUUCCCUAAAUGAAGCUUUGACAUUCUUAACCAACUCUUUAGUGUUUCUAGGAGAAGUCUGGUCUUUUAGGGAUUGUAUUUCUCAAAAAGAAUUAAGGUCUAGCACAUUCAUAUAUGGACUGUUAGUAGGUUGAAAUAUCAACCUUAAUUGUUUGUUUGAAAGUUGAACUUCUUCCAUCCAUUCUCUGUCAUUCACUUGUAUAUGAGGCCGUGCAUUGUCUUGUUGCAAAUAGAUUAGACCUUGAUGAUCUGUUGGCCACUUUUGCAUGAUUGCUGGAAUAUCUUGUCUAAUUAACAUGUUUCUGUAAGUUUCCUUUGUGACUGAAGUCACAGGUUUGAGCUCCAAAGUGUCUGUUGGCCUAUUUCUACUUCUCCUCUUUGCUGUUACCCACUUCACAAAUGGAAACAUGUUUGUUUUACCAUCGAAAUGCAUUCUCUAUUUUCAUUGAAUCGUGGUCUUGCAACAGCACAAAGAAACAUGACUUUUGUGAUGAAUCUCUUGCUCUUACAUGAUAUGUAAGGUCCGAGUUCACCUAGGAGAAGGUAAUACCUUUGUGUCCCUUUUUUCAUGUAAAAGAACUUCUCAUCUUAGUGGAUUAUGUUGUACAUAUCACUAAAAUCACCAUUGUUCUAAUCAAUUUCUCCAAGGCGCCACUUCACUCUUUCUUUUAGAUUUUCAUUGGUAAGUGACGGUUUCAUUGCAUUGUUAUGUGGCUUUAUUAGCCCCAUUUUUUCCACUUGUAAAUUGUGGUCUUUGAAAGCUCUAAUUCUUUUGCAAGUGACCUAACGUUUACUCGUUUGGGAUAUGAAAUUUGAGCAAUUAGAAGAAGUAUUCUUAAGUGAAGCUUACCUUUUUUUUUUUUUGCCGCAUUUUUUGGGUUUCUGUGAUUGAAUACUCACUGGUUGUUGAUUGUCAUAUUGUGCUUUACCCACCUUCCAGAUUCUUUGUAUUGUUGACCGGUUGACAUCAAAAAGAUAAACUGCUUCAGUGACAAUGCCCCUCUUCUUCUUCUUUCCACCGUUUCUCUGUUCAAGUAACCAGUUGGCAAUUCAGGUUUUUGCUGCAUCUGUGAGUUCUCUCUUGGCCCUUCUCAUUUUUUUUACUCAGUACACUAGUUGCAACCAAUUGAGAAUGGAAGAGGCAAUCUUCAGCGAAGUUCAGACUCUCUUUUCACUUGAGGAUGCAAUUUUUGUGCUAAGUUUAUGGUUAAUUAUACGAAUUGCAACCAAGUCGGACUUGUAGGGUUUAAGUUUAAACUCCCAUUUUACUUAGGACGGCAAGAGUGUAUGUUAACCACCUCAAUGAUGAAAUUUUUUUGAGAGGUUUUAGAAAAAUAGAUUUACACUAUCCAAACCCCCUCCCCACACUAAUUAAUUUCUUUUUGUUUUUCCCUUUUCAAACUAAAGUCAGUUUUAAACUACCCCCCACCCCCACACACCCACACACAAUUAAAUGAUGCUUGUUUUUCCUUGUUUUUCUAUUUUUUUCUACACUUAUUUUCAGGUUGACGAAGUGUUGGAGAAGUUGUAGAAAAGAGGAGCAAGCAUUUAUGAGGGAAGCAUAUUUAUAAUGGUCCAAAUUUAGGGUUUUACUUCUACUUAAAUUUAGGAGGAAAAGUGUGUAAAAAAAUCGUAAAUUUUACUCUUGCUCUUUGUUAGAAUUUUCCCCAAAAUUUUAGAGGAAAAAUGAAUAAAUUAUGUGAUUUUUGGAAAUUCCCCAAAUAUUUAUAGGGAAAAUGUAAUUACAGAACUUUUUUGGAA
Long non-coding RNA from Spinacia oleracea (spinach), 3407 nucleotides. RefSeq lists it as uncharacterized. The transcript is spliced from 2 exons. Lineage: Eukaryota; Viridiplantae; Streptophyta; Magnoliopsida; Caryophyllales; Amaranthaceae. The record is from RefSeq and is a predicted model, not a curated record.